UAUAAAGAGAUACGCGGGUAACGGGAUACAGAAUACAAACAAUUUUCACGAAUCACAACUACCGGGCUGGGGUAGAGUGUAUAGCUCUGGCCUCUGGAUUAUCCGGUUCCCCUUGCUUAUGCCGUAUCCUCUUCAGGCUGUGUUAGUUUCCGAUUGCAAGGGAUUAAAAUCACUUAGGACAUGGAGGGAGUGUGCCAUUGUUCAGAUUGCUGCUGUCAAGUAUUUUCAUUGCCGGAAGUGCAUAUUGGUGGUUUCACUUCCAAGGGGAUCUUCUUAUUGUUUCCUUUGUCAAUUUCACUUAGCCAGCAGCUUGCUUUGAAUGAUCAGUACAGGGCCACAUGGGAAUACUUUCUACGAUAGGCGUUGGACAUCUUGAGCUACUUGACAAGUGUUCUGAUGAAUAAAUUCUGCAAGCAAAUUAAUGAUGUUUCUAAACAUCAGUAACCUGUAAAAUUUAGAUUACUCUUUCUUAGAGUUAGCUUCUUUCUGUAUGCGUCUCUGUCUUUUCUCUUGAAGGGUGCCUGCCAAGAACAUGAUUCACUUGUUUGAACUCUGAAGAAUCGUAUGAAAGGAGUUUCCAAUUCUGUUUUAGAAGGCACUAUGAAACUUAUCUGGAAUUAAGAAUCAAAUCUGUCACUGGACUGCAUUGUGCUUCAACUAGUACCUGGGUGAUAUCAAGGUGGUUGAUAGCCCUUGUCUUACCUUGUUACUGCUUUGAGGUCUUUGGUGUGGUUUAUGUCACGACAGAAGUCAAAUCCACCCAACAUAAUCUUGGUGGCUUUGUUGUUAUUUGCAAGCCAGUGUAAAGUCAGUGGUAGAUUUUCCUGAAUCAGCCAGGACAGCAGUUUAUAUAUAGUAGCUCUAUUUUCGAGUUGUCUAACGUAGGCAGAAUACGUAUGCAUAGUCUAUGUGUGUGUUCUUCAUCUUCUACAAAUAAUAAGUCUUCUACAUUCCAGUGUAAUAAAAAAUGGACAGGUAUAAUAUAAUCAAGGAAGUUGGUAAUGGUACAUUUGGAAGUGUUUGGCGAGCAUUAAAUAAGCAAACUGGUGAUGUGGUUGCAAUAAAAAAAAUGAAGAAGAAAUAUUAUUCAUGGGAGGAGUGUGUAAACUUGAGAGAAGUCAAGUCAUUGAGGAGAAUGAGCCAUCCAAAUAUUGUAAAGCUCAAGGAAGUAAUUAGGGAACAUGACGUCUUGUUUUUUGUGUUUGAAUAUAUGGAGUGUAACCUGUACCAGCUUAUGAAGGACAGAGUAAAGCUUUUCUCAGAAGCUGAAAUUAAAAAUUGGUGCUUCCAAGUAUUUCAAGGUCUUGCACACAUGCAUCAACGGGGAUAUUUUCAUCGUGACCUUAAGCCAGAGAACUUGUUGGUUUCAAAAGAUAUAAUUAAAAUUGCUGAUUUUGGUCUUGCCCGUCAGAUCAAUUCUCAACCUCCAUAUACAGGAUACGUCUCAACACGCUGGUAUCGGGCUCCUGAAGUUCUUCUCCAGUCAACAACAUAUGGAUUUGCUGUUGAUAUGUGGGCAAUGGGUGCAAUUAUGGCUGAAUUGUUUACAAAGCAUCCUCUAUUUCCGGGUUUAAAUGAAGCAGAUGAAAUCUACAAAAUAUGCAGUGUAUUAGGCUCACCAACAAUGACAGAAUGGUCUGAGGGACUUCAACUUGCCAAUUCUAUUGGCUACCAGUUUCCACAGGCUGUUGGUUUGCAUCUUUCAGUGUUGAUACCAUCUGCUAGUGAGAACGCUAUUAAUCUUAUUACAUCACUUUGCUCAUGGGAUCCCUGCAAGAGGCCAACUGCUGUGGAGGUCCUUCAGCAUCCUUUCUUUCAGAGUUGCAUCUAUGUUCCACCAUCUCUGCGGUCUGGUGUAGCCCUCUCAAGAACCACCCAAUCUGUAGGGCGCAAUAAUAUUGGGUUCAUUUCAACUAGAACAACAGAUGCAUCGGAGCAAAAGGGCAAUAGGUUGUCCAUUGGGACUAUCUCCAAUCCAAAGUCCAUGAGUAAAACAUCAUCUCUCAAGUCACAUGCAUCCUUGAAUGCGGGUAUACAAAGAAAGUCGGAAAUAAACUCUCAGGAUGCAAUAACCAAUAAACCUCUUAAGGGUUCUCUGAAGCAGCAAUCUAAAUAUCAACCACCCGCAAGGAAUCUUCCCAUGCCAGGCCCCACGGUGAAGCCUAGUCAAGUCUCGAAUGCAGCUAAGAAGUUCACAAACCUAAAUAUUGGCUCCGGUAGACCACCUGUAAAACAACUGUCGCCUCAGCCUCCGAAGGCCGGAGGGUGGCAUUCGCAAACCAGGGUGCCCCAUGGAAGAUCUCGGGCCAUUCCUCCAGGAAGGGCUUCGACAAGGAAAGUGACGGGCUGAAGAUUAGAUACAACAUUGAUUCAUGAUGGUGCUCGAGUAUGCUGCCCUUCGUGUCUGGCUAAAUUUGAGAAGAGUGAAAUACCUGAAUCUGACACGGCGCAGCUCUCUGGUGCCAUCAGCUAGUUGUCUGAUGGUUAUAUACACCCCGGGUUCAUCUUCUUCUAUCCAUUCUGAAUCCACUUCACUGGCAUUGCUAACUGAAACUGCUGGCUCAUCUCUAGAGUCAGUCGUCAUCCGUGAUGGUUCCAUAGAAGACAUUGGGGGGCCACCACCACCACCAUAACCACUUGAGCUAGGUUUAUAGUAAUUCCUUGAUGCAGGAGCUAUCAUAGGGCUCUCCCUUAUUGACAGCCGGGAAUAAGUAGAAUCUCUCUGUAUAUAUAUACAUAUAAAAGAUUGUAAAAUUUGUAAGCUUAAGUAAAUCUGGUUCACAGUUUGUAAUUCUGUAAGGUGAAGCUCAAUUUACCCCA
Ipomoea triloba (trilobed morning glory) is the source of this 2820-nucleotide RNA transcript. It is a transcript of the gene named cyclin-dependent kinase F-4-like, with no coding region annotated. Lineage: Eukaryota; Viridiplantae; Streptophyta; Magnoliopsida; Solanales; Convolvulaceae. The record is from RefSeq and is a predicted model, not a curated record. The transcript has 19 exons.